RNAcentral lists this ribosomal RNA (372 nucleotides) under Staurolemma oculatum. Its description in RNAcentral is "SSU rRNA". It matches the Rfam family "Bacterial small subunit ribosomal RNA", at positions 361 to 729 of the family's 1533-position model. Lineage: Eukaryota; Fungi; Ascomycota; Lecanoromycetes; Peltigerales; Collemataceae. The record is from RNAcentral.
AUAUUGGUCAAUAGCCUAACGGCUGAACCAGCAACUUGGAAGAAGGUAUAGCAAUAGCUAAUUGUAUUAACAUAAUAAAUAGUUUUUACAAUAUCGAGUAAUUCGAAUAAAAUUCUAGGUAGAUUUAUGAUUAUGACAUUAUCUACCUAUGUGUCUUGACCAAAAUACGUGCCAGCAGUCGCGGCAAGACGUAGAAGACUAGUGUUAUUCAUCUUUAAUAGGUUUAAAGCGUACCUAGACGGUAAUUAUAGCCUAAAUAAGGUACUUUUUUACUAGAGUUACAUGUAAGGGUGUAUUAAAGUACUGUUGAGUUUAGAGAUGAAAUUCUUUUACACCAGAUAAUUGGCACAGGUAUAGGCGAAAGCAUCACCU